UCAACAACACUAUUCUGUUGAGGUGAAUGAGGGCAGGUGGUUUGAUGAAUAAUCCCCUGGCUACUAAAGAAAGAUAUACCCUCAAUGCUAGAUCCCAAUUCUAAGGCAUUGUCACUUCUAACAGUUUGAACCAUAGUGUUAAACUGAGUUUUGACAAAACAGAUGAAAGACUUAAGCAGGGAAAAGGCAUUGCUUUUAGAGCCCAUUAAGUGU
Molecule: long non-coding RNA, 213 nt
Filed under: Nicotiana benthamiana
Lineage: Eukaryota; Viridiplantae; Streptophyta; Magnoliopsida; Solanales; Solanaceae
Description: long non-coding RNA (NBEN_LNC023858)
Source: RNAcentral